CCCUGGGCAGUCACACGAAACAGAACAGGGAGUGCUGGGGUGAGGCAGUGGGGAAGGGGUAGAAGAAGAGAUGGAGGUGGGGGGGGCAGGGGAGACGGAGCAGAGUGAUGGCAUGAGUGUACCCACUGGGUUCUCUGAGCCCAUUUCCCCCUGGGUCGUCCGGUUCCGAGGGCCUUGACUCCCGCCAAGAAUUCUAGGUAACAUGAUACUCAGCCUUUGUCAAUCUCCUUAGUGCUCAAAGCUGCUGCUGCUGAGAGAAAGCAGCCUGCCCUGGCGUCGGGUCAGUGUCCCUCCUGCUCUAGUCUGACAGUUCCCAUUUUUUCCUCAAGAUGUGGAAAUGUCUGUCCUUUCCUCAAACCAGCAUUUCCAUUGAUGGAUAAAUCCUAGGAAGGGGCAGGUAGAGGGAAUGGAGGAGGGCAGAACGGCCCAGACACUCGGGAGCCUCUUAUGGAAGGUGGAGCCCACACCGGGGCACAGGUAGCUCAGUUCCCACUCCCACCGGAGCUGCCCCCUCUCGGGAGGCCACCCUAAGCCAGGAGCUUAGAUCAGGGUUCCUCUGCCCUCUCUGGUCAUCACAUCUCAAAAGAAAAAGCCCGGAGGGCGAGCCCACGUGGGAGGUGUACGAAACAGCCUGAGGAGCAAGUCCAGGAAAUCCCUGUCCUUUGGAGAAAGCUUCUUUAUCUGCGUGUCUCAGCCUCAUCUCUAUGGUGGGAUCCAGUCAACCACUCUGGGCUGUUGUGAGGGUAAAAUGAAGCUACAAACGGAAAAGGCUUGAUUUUUAUGAGUGCCGGAAGACUCAUACCGAAGGGAAACACACUUUGCGUGGUGUCUGCCACAGGCCAGUGCUCAGACAUUGUUUGCUGAAUGACUAUGUGAGAGGAAGAGUGAGAAGGACUGGACUCCAGUCAGGGCCCUCCCCCUGCUACUGCUGUGACCUGCGCAAACCAUCUUACUCUCCUGGGCCCAUAUUUUUGCUUGCCCUCUCAUAGGCUGGCUGUACAACACCGCCCCACCUCGGCUGAGGUCCUACUUACCCCCAAAGGCUGGGAAUGCAGCGAAAGCUGGUGCCACCUGGGGAGCGGCAAAGGGGUCUCCACCUAUGUCGGCCAGCAGCACACCAUCUCCCAGAAGCAGACAUUUUAGAGCCCGUGGGUGAAAGUAACCCUGAGCUACAAGGGAUAUUGCCAAGAGCCCCCCGCUCCCGAGCUGUUACUUCCUCAUCUUUCCCGGGUGCCAGAGGCAGUGUCCGGGCCCCUCCUGCGUUUCCUUGAAGCAAUGUUCAGGUUUGAAGUCGAUACUCCGACUUCCCUAAAUACCACUUCCUGUUGGGUUCUUUCUUCCAAAAAGAUAGGAGGCCAAGGUGAGUCCAAGACAUAGGUAACAGCAGGGCCGAGAACCAACUCACACCAGCCAUACUGUCGUCUGCUAAGUACGGGGCGUUGGAUUUAGGAAACUGACAUCCCUGUCUCCCAAAUCCCCAACUAGUCUCUAAGGGCAG
Long non-coding RNA from Callorhinus ursinus (northern fur seal), 1498 nucleotides. RefSeq lists it as uncharacterized. The record is from RefSeq and is a predicted model, not a curated record. Lineage: Eukaryota; Metazoa; Chordata; Mammalia; Carnivora; Otariidae.